This 73-nucleotide ribosomal RNA is filed under the name Desulfotruncus arcticus DSM 17038. The record is from RNAcentral. Lineage: Bacteria; Bacillati; Bacillota; Clostridia; Eubacteriales; Desulfallaceae.
GAACACGGAAGUUAAGCUCUUCAGGGCCGAUGGUACUUGGGCUUGUCCUUGGGAGAGUAGGUCGUUGCCGGAC